UAGGGAAUCUUCCGCAAUGGGCGAAAGCCUGACGGAGCAACGCCGCGUGAGUGAUGAAGGUCUUCGGAUCGUAAAACUCUGUUAUUAGGGAAGAACAAAUGUGUAAGUAACUAUGCACGUCUUGACGGUACCUAAUCAGAAAGCAACGGCUAACUACGUGCCAGCAGCCGCGGUAAUACGUAGGUGGCAAGCGUUAUCCGGAAUUAUUGGGCGUAAAGCGCGCGUAGGCGGUUUUUUAAGUCUGAUGUGAAAACCCACGGCUCAACCGUAGAGGGUCAUGGGAAACUGGAAAACUUGAGUGCAGAAGAGGAAAGUGGAAUUCCAUGUGUAGCGGUGAAAUGCGCAGAGAUAUGGAGGAACACCAGUGGCGAAGGCGACUUGCUGGUCUGUAACUGACGCUGAUGUGCGAGAGCGUGGGGAUCAAACAGG
Molecule: ribosomal RNA, 429 nt
Filed under: Actinomycetes bacterium
Lineage: Bacteria; Bacillati; Actinomycetota; Actinomycetes
Description: Actinobacteria bacterium partial 16S ribosomal RNA
Rfam family: Bacterial small subunit ribosomal RNA
Source: RNAcentral